CCCUUAGAUGUUCUGGGCAGCACGCGCGCUCCAAUGGUCUUCGCAAACGGAUGCAUUCUCGAAGGAGAAUGCCAAUCUUGGAAUCUAUGCCUUGGUCGGGACAGUUGCUUGCAAUUUUUCGACUCGAACCAGGAAUUCCUUGUAAUCGUGAUUCAUCACAUCACGAUGAAUACGUCCCUGCCCUUUGUACACACCGCCCGUCGCUCCUACCGAUCGAAGAGUUAGGUGAAUUGUUUUGAUCGAUAAGAUUUGACUAUGGUCAACUCUCGUUGUGAAAUUCUGUGAAUCUGACUGUUUAGAGGAAGGAAAAGUCGUAACA
Molecule: ribosomal RNA, 319 nt
Filed under: uncultured eukaryote
Lineage: Eukaryota
Description: partial 18S ribosomal RNA
Rfam family: Eukaryotic small subunit ribosomal RNA
Source: RNAcentral